AGUGAACGCUGGCGGUAGGCCUAACACAUGCAAGUCGAACGGCAGCACAGUAAGAGCUUGCUCUUACGGGUGGCGAGUGGCGGACGGGUGAGGAAUACAUCGGAAUCUACUUUUUCGUGGGGGAUAACGUAGGGAAACUUACGCUAAUACCGCAUACGACCUACGGGUGAAAGCAGGGGAUCUUCGGACCUUGCGCGAUUGAAUGAGCCGAUGUCGGAUUAGCUAGUUGGCGGGGUAAAGGCCCACCAAGGCGACGAUCCGUAGCUGGUCUGAGAGGAUGAUCAGCCACACUGGAACUUAGACACGGUCCAGACUCCUACGGGAGGCAGCAGUGUGGAAUAUUGGACAAUGGGCGCAAGCCUGAUCCAGCCAUACCGCGUGGGUGAAGAAGGCCUUCGGGUUGUAAAGCCCUUUUGUUGGGAAAGAAAAGCAGCAGGUUAAUACCCCGCUGUUCUGACGGUACCCAAAGAAUAAGCACCGGCUAACUUCGUG
Molecule: ribosomal RNA, 492 nt
Filed under: uncultured bacterium
Lineage: Bacteria
Description: partial 16S ribosomal RNA
Rfam family: Bacterial small subunit ribosomal RNA
Source: RNAcentral